RNAcentral lists this ribosomal RNA (468 nucleotides) under uncultured bacterium. RNAcentral's name for it is "partial 16S ribosomal RNA". It matches the Rfam family "Bacterial small subunit ribosomal RNA", at positions 28 to 507 of the family's 1533-position model. The record is from RNAcentral.
GACGAACGCUGGCGGCGUGCUUAACACAUGCAAGUCGAACGGAAAGGCCCUGCUUUUGUGGGGUGCUCGAUUGGCGAACGGGUGAGUAACACGUGAGUAACCUGCCCUUGACUUUGGGAUAACUUCAGGAAACUGGGGCUAAUACCGGAUAGGAGCUCCUGCUGCAUGGUGGUGGUUGGAAAGUUUCGGCGGUUGGGGAUGGACUCGCGGCUUAUCAGCUUGUUGGUGGGGUAGUGGCUUACCAAGGCUUUGACGGGUAGCCGGCCUGAGAGGGUGACCGGCCACAUUGGGACUGCGAUACGGCCCAGACUGCUACGGGAGGCAGCAGUGGGGAAUAUUGCACAAUGGGCGGAAGCCUGAUGCAGCAACGCCGCGUGCGGGAUGACGGCCUUCGGGUUGUAAACCGAUUUCGCCUGUGACGAAGCGUGAGUGACGGUAAUGGGUAAAGAAGCACCGGCUAACUACGUG